Molecule: long non-coding RNA, 559 nt
Organism: Sitophilus oryzae (rice weevil)
Lineage: Eukaryota; Metazoa; Arthropoda; Insecta; Coleoptera; Curculionidae
Exons: 2
Source: RefSeq, a predicted model, not a curated record
UCUAUUUCUUAGCUCUAGAAGGAGAUAACGAAAAUCUGUUGAUAAUCGGAGUAAUAAAUUGUUUUUGACUGAAUGUACCUGUUCUUUUGGCUUGUGAGAAGAGAAGAUUAUUGUCAUAUGAUUGUCAUUAAUGAUUAUUUGAGAUUCCACGAUUAUUCGGCAUUUUUGUAAUUUUUGUUUUGUGGUUGAGAUCUAGACAAAAUGUUUCCUUUAAAGGUUCUCUUAUAAAGACUAUCAAAAACAUUGAAUACCUACGGGAUACCUACUGAUACUCUGCGCGAGCUCCCAACCGUGCUUCCCAGUAUACUCCCAACCAAGUUAGAUAAAAAAGAUAUUGAAGAUUGCAGCCUUGAGCUGGAGUAUGGGCUCCACUACGACAUGUACAGAAACGAAUUACCUAAACUGGCAAGCAUGUAAAAUUAAACCUUAAUGAAAAAUUGAACUUAUUUAUUUUUAGUUCAAGAAAAGGCAUGACAAUCCACAACCCACCAAAGACCUGGUAAAUGAAUUCUGCAAAAACUGAAAACCAAACUAAGUUAAAUAAAUUAUUAUGUUCCUA